Molecule: ribosomal RNA, 224 nt
Filed under: uncultured bacterium
Lineage: Bacteria
Description: partial 16S ribosomal RNA
Rfam family: Bacterial small subunit ribosomal RNA
Source: RNAcentral
GGUUUAAUUCGAAGCAACGCGAAGAACCUUACCAGGUCUUGACAUCUUCUGACAAUUCCAGAGAUGGAACGUUCCCCUUCGGGGACAGAAUGACAGGUGGUGCAUGGUUGUCGUCAGCUCGUGUCGUGAGAUGUUGGGUUAAGUCCCGCAACGAGCGCAACCCUUAUUGUCAGUUGCCAUCAUUAAGUUGGGCACUCUGGCGAGACUGCCGGUGACAAACCGGA